Molecule: ribosomal RNA, 301 nt
Filed under: uncultured bacterium
Lineage: Bacteria
Description: partial 16S ribosomal RNA
Rfam family: Bacterial small subunit ribosomal RNA
Source: RNAcentral
CAGCAGCCGCGGUAAUACAGAGGGUGCGAGCGUUAAUCGGAUUUACUGGGCGUAAAGCGUGCGUAGGCGGCUUUUUAAGUCGGAUGUGAAAUCCCUGAGCUUAACUUAGGAAUUGCAUUCGAUACUGGGAAGCUAGAGUAUGGGAGAGGAUGGUAGAAUUCCAGGUGUAGCGGUGAAAUGCGUAGAGAUCUGGAGGAAUACCGAUGGCGAAGGCAGCCAUCUGGCCUAAUACUGACGCUGAGGUACGAAAGCAUGGGGAGCAAACAGGAUUAGAGACCCCUGUAGUCCCUGUCUCUUAUAA